ACACGGGCACCGGUGGGGAGACUGCUCGUCUGUAUCAAUGGAAAACUUUUUACGUAACUCGAACGACGAUAAUUUUCCAACGUGAAGGCACCAUGAUGUGCAGUCCUGUCGGCCUGCGUGGGGAACUCUUUACAACGUUGGAUAUUCCGUAGUCAAAAAUUUUCAUAUACUUAUCUAUUUAAACGAGUAGCAAAACAGCAGUUGUGAUGCAGCAUAUAUUGAAUACACUUUCCAAUCCGAACAUUAGGUGCUUACUAUUGUAUGUCGUUGUACGCACGGUAGCACGAACUCGAAACGGCGUGUGUGCUCGAGCAUUUUGGACGGGUACACAUGGCGUCCGGGCUAGUGUAGCCAACAGCCAAAGGCGACAAACGUGUGUACUCGACCUAACCCUCCCAUCCUAUCCUAUUCCUCACAACCGCUGUUUGAUAAGUCAUUUCGCCUUAGGUAGGGGACAUAGAGUCACUUGGCACACGGAGUUGGAACCGUCAUUUGAACGAAAAAGUUGUUUUUGUCAUUAGGUGAGACGCUAAAUGGCCAGCGUCUUAUCGAGUUCCGCCUGGGUCAGGAAGCGGAGGCGGAGCAAGGGCUGACGGUGGCGGCAGCCGAGCUAAUGGUACGGGCCGAGGCGACUCCGAAAGCUCGCCGUCUACGUUAUACGCUCUGGGCGUUUACAGUUCACGGGAACGCGACCGUGGGCGAGCUCGCCGGCACUACGGACGCCGGGGGCGGUAGAGGCGGGCGGGGAUGGCAGCGCGUGGACGUGACGGGCGCGGCGCGGCGGUGGGC
RNAcentral lists this unclassified non-coding RNA (789 nucleotides) under Melitaea cinxia (Glanville fritillary). RNAcentral describes it as "misc RNA ENSMCXG00005007872.1". Lineage: Eukaryota; Metazoa; Arthropoda; Insecta; Lepidoptera; Nymphalidae. The record is from RNAcentral.